AUCCCCGCACAUCACAAUGGCAGCUGCACUUUCCAUCUUCAAGAGCUAGAAAAAUUAUGCUGGAAUGUCCGGCGGGCCAGAAUUAGAAGGCCUUAAUUUGCCCAGGUCUGGUCCAUGGUGUGGACUACGGUCUGGAGGAUCUAUCAUAACUUCUGGGUCUCCACAAUAAAAUGUGUUUUAAAGAAACAUCCUAUUAGUCCCACUUGGUGUUUUAGUUGCUCACAAAGCUGCCAUGGAGACCAUGUUUGACCUUCUUCUCCCCAGCAGGGCGGCAACAUCUCCCAUCCUGGUCACAGCCAACCAAUCAGAGGGCGCCGCCUCCUCCCUCCGCUGGACAUAAACACCUCCACAAUUAUCCUCCCUGGGGAGUUGUCGGCACAUCCUAGAGUGGGCCUGCCUGGAAUGUUCACUGAGUGGCUGGUCAACUGGACACAAGACUCUCAUGGUGGAGGAGUAACAGCACUGAAAGUAGACAGAUCAGGGUCAGACUGUCAUCCACAAUUCUUGGAAGCUGCAGAACAACUAAAUG
Nerophis ophidion (straightnose pipefish) is the source of this 529-nucleotide long non-coding RNA. RefSeq lists it as uncharacterized. The transcript has 4 exons. Lineage: Eukaryota; Metazoa; Chordata; Actinopteri; Syngnathiformes; Syngnathidae. The record is from RefSeq and is a predicted model, not a curated record.